UGGGGAAUCUUGGACAAUGGGCGCAAGCCUGAUCCAGCCAUGCCGCGUGCAGGAAGGAGGCCUUCGGGUUGUAAACUGCUUUUGUACGGAACGAAAAGGCUCUUUCUAAUAAAGAGGGCCCAUGACGGUACCGUAAGAAUAAGCACCGGCUAACUACGUGCCAGCAGCCGCGGUAAUACGUAGGGUGCGAGCGUUAAUCGGAAUUACUGGGCGUAAAGCGUGCGCAGGCGGUUCUAUAAGACAGAUGUGAAAUCCCCGGGCUCAACCUGGGAAUGGCAUUUGUGACUGUAGAGCUAGAGUACGGUAGAGGGGGAUGGAAUUCCGCGUGUAGCAGUGAAAUGCGUAGAUAUGCGGAGGAACACCGAUGGCGAAGGCAAUCCCCUGGACCUGUACUGACGCUCAUGCACGAAAGCGUGGGGAGCAAACAGGAUUAGAUACCCCCGUAGUCCCUGAGCGGGCUGGCAAGGCGCAU
RNAcentral lists this ribosomal RNA (472 nucleotides) under uncultured bacterium. RNAcentral's name for it is "bacterial SSU rRNA". It matches the Rfam family "Bacterial small subunit ribosomal RNA", at positions 355 to 825 of the family's 1533-position model. The record is from RNAcentral.